AGAAGCUAAAUGACUAUGGAAGACAUCAGUGUCAGGAUUAUCAGACAAAUGACUAAACAUGGCUAUGGUAAAGGAGAUGUGUAGUCUACCUCUGGGAGAAUGCUAAUGUGCUUCAGAAAUCAGAAGGUGCUCAAAUUUGAAGGGAGGGAAAGAUUUCUGUUUCUUCUUGGCUGACUGUCCUUCAUCUGGCUUGAAGUUGCCUGGUUAUGUAAUAAAAAGAAAUCCCUCAGUUAUCAUGUGAGUAGGUGGUAUCUCCACUGACACCACUGAAGUUCUACUGAUUUCAGCAGAGCUACUCUAGAUUUACCUCAGUGUAAAUGGGAGGAGAAAUGGGCCCAAAUGCUUCAGAAAACACCAGGGUGUCCCUGGAGCUGCACUAGCUGCAGCUCCCUGCACCUCUCACAGAUUAAAAACUCAAAUCUGUGGACAAAUAGCUGCAAAAAGGCUUGGGAGAAACCAGCCUCUGAGCCUCUUCCCUCUCGCAGCAAUAUCCCCAAGGGGAGUCGGCAGCAGCAUCGUGCCUCUUCCCUGCUCCCUACUCAAAGGCAGGAGCUGAUCUAAACAGGCUGGAUUUGCAAGUGCCUCCUCCCUGGUAAUACCAUUUUCUUCUUUAAAAACCAUUCAAAAAACAAUUUUUUGAUGACAUGGUGAUCUGAUGCCUGGAUAAAGGUAGUAUAGAGACAGACCAG
Molecule: long non-coding RNA, 689 nt
Filed under: Apteryx owenii (little spotted kiwi)
Lineage: Eukaryota; Metazoa; Chordata; Aves; Apterygiformes; Apterygidae
Description: lncRNA (ENSAOWG00000012597.1)
Source: RNAcentral